This 733-nucleotide ribosomal RNA is filed under the name Nocardiopsis sp. HUST017. RNAcentral describes it as "bacterial SSU rRNA". It matches the Rfam family "Bacterial small subunit ribosomal RNA", at positions 100 to 834 of the family's 1533-position model. Lineage: Bacteria; Bacillati; Actinomycetota; Actinomycetes; Streptosporangiales; Nocardiopsidaceae. The record is from RNAcentral.
GAACGGGUGAGUAACACGUGAGCAACCUGCCCCUGACUCCGGGAUAAGCGGUGGAAACGCCGUCUAAUACCGGAUACGACCCGCCACCUCAUGGUGGAGGGUGGAAAGUUUUUCGGUCAGGGAUGGGCUCGCGGCCUAUCAGCUUGUUGGUGGGGUAACGGCCUACCAAGGCGAUUACGGGUAGCCGGCCUGAGAGGGCGACCGGCCACACUGGGACUGAGACACGGCCCAGACUCCUGCGGGAGGCAGCAGUGGGGAAUAUUGCGCAAUGGGCGAAAGCCUGACGCAGCGACGCCGCGUGGGGGAUGACGGCCUUCGGGUUGUAAACCUCUUUUACCACCAACGCAGGCCCGGAGUUCUCUUCGGGUUGACGGUAGGUGGGGAAUAAGGACCGGCUAACUACGUGCCAGCAGCCGCGGUAAUACGUAGGGUCCGAGCGUUGUCCGGAAUUAUUGGGCGUAAAGAGCUCGUAGGCGGCGUGUCGCGUCUGCUGUGAAAGACCGGGGCUUAACUCCGGUUCUGCAGUGGAUACGGGCAUGCUAGAGGUAGGUAGGGGAGACUGGAAUUCCUGGUGUAGCGGUGAAAUGCGCAGAUAUCAGGAGGAACACCGGUGGCGAAGGCGGGUCUCUGGGCCUUACCUGACGCUGAGGAGCGAAAGCAUGGGGAGCGAACAGGAUUAGAUACCCUGGUAGUCCAUGCCGUAAACGUUGGGCGCUAGGUGUGGGGACUUUCC